CUCACUCAACCACUUAGCAUUCAUCAUUUUGAUAUUGAAUUGUCUACUGCAACUAUGGGUAUCCAAUAUUUUUCUCAAUUGUCAUGUUCUACAUCCUUCUAAAUGUCCACAAUAAGCCAUCCAUGGACAUUUUUUUUUUGCACCCAACAUCUCACUCAUACCCUUCUAUUGUCAUUCUUAAGAAACUUCAAAUUCCUCCCCGCAUGCACGACAUAACUUCUAACAGCCUCCAUAAACUCAUUUUUAUCACUAAUCUGUGUUCCCACUUCCCACUUGUAUUCUGACAUAUUUUUUUUCUUAACAUAUGUCCCAAAUGGACCACAACUUUGCCUUUCAUCAAUUCCAUCCUCACUUCCACUUUCUUCUGGACUGUCCAAUAAUUUUGAGUCCCACUCAUCAUCAGACAAACCCCUGCCAUUUGGGUUUCUCUGCCUAUAUGCACUGUCAUCUGUGUUUGAAUCACAAUUGCUUUCAUUUUCACUAACUUCUACUGACACAGACCCUUCUACGUUGUUAUCUACUAGUCCUUCAUCAAUAUUAACAUCAACAUCAACUAGUCCUUCAUCCACUUAUCCUUCAUCCACUUCUUCUUCAUCAACUACUCCAUGAGGAAAUUCACCAUGCACCACCCCUGCAUCAUCAUCCUCACUUGAACUAAAUUCUUCAAUGACAACUUCUUCCUCCACAUGCUCGUGUUGUUCAAUAACAACUUCCUCCUCCUCCACCCUAACGUUAUGUUCAACCAUAUCCUCCACCUGCACAUCCACUUCUUCAUCCUCCACAUGCACAGAAACGUCAUCAUCCUCCCCCUGCAUCUCCACUUUAUCAUCCUCAUUCCCACCUAAAUGGCUACCUUCACUCUCUAUACUUCCAAGACACAGCAAAUGAAGUGGUUCAUUUAAUUCACUUUGAAAUAUAAUCUUUGGCUCCUCAUCCACAUUGUGCACCACAAAUAAGUGAACUUACCCUAAAUGCUUGGCAACGUCUACCAUGUUCAUUACAUCUCUGUUAUCAUACAACUUAUACAAAAUAUGUUGAAUGCAAUAAAAUAACUCAGACACAUUAAUAUA
This 1070-nucleotide long non-coding RNA is filed under the name Vigna radiata. RNAcentral describes it as "long non-coding RNA (VRAD_LNC008813)". Lineage: Eukaryota; Viridiplantae; Streptophyta; Magnoliopsida; Fabales; Fabaceae. The record is from RNAcentral.